GUAAAGUUUGAUUCUAGCUUGUUAAAUUUACCUUUUUUUAAUUGUACAUGUAAAUUUUUGUGUGAUAAUUUUUUCUAAAUGGUUUGAUUGAAAAUAAUCGCAGUUCUUUGUAUUAUAUAUUAUAUAACUAUAGAUUUAAUUAAUUAGGAGAGUUCUGACUAAUAUUGUGCCAGCAGUCGCGGUUAUACGAUAGGGGCAAGUAAAUUUUUUUUGAUUUGUAUUUAUUUUAGUUUAUUAUUAUUUUAAUUGGAAAUAUUUAGGGUGAAAUCGGUAUUUUCUAUUGGAUAAUUUAAUAUGAUUAAAUAUGAUAGUUCAAUGUAAGACUGGGAUUAGAUACCCCAUUAUUAUGAAUAGUAAAUUUUUAAUCUUAGUAUUAAUAGUUAUGAUCUUUAAAUUAAAAGAAUUUGGCGGUAAUUUAGUCUGUUCAGAGGAAUCUGCCCUAUAAUUGAUGAUCCACGAUGAAUUUUACUUUAUUUAGGCUUGUAUAUCUCUGUCAUUGAAUGUCUUAUAAGAGUAUUUUCUUUAAUUAUUAUUGUAGAUAAUGUCAGGUCAAGGUGCAGCAAUAAUAAAGAAGAGGUGGAUUACAUUAAAUGUAUUUAUGGAAAAGUUUAUGAAAAUAUCUUAUGAAAUUGGAUUUGAAAGUAAAUUUUAUUAGAAUAUAGAAUUGAUUUAGCUCUAAAUUAUGUACAUAUCGCCCGUCACUCUCGUUAAUUUAAGAUGAGAUAAGUCGUAACAAAGUAGGUUUACUGGAAAGUGGGCCUGGUUUUAA
RNAcentral lists this non-coding RNA (769 nucleotides) under Hospesneotomae protracta (western bloodsucking conenose). Lineage: Eukaryota; Metazoa; Arthropoda; Insecta; Hemiptera; Reduviidae. The record is from RNAcentral.